Non-coding RNA from Methanocella paludicola SANAE, 84 nucleotides. Lineage: Archaea; Methanobacteriati; Methanobacteriota; Methanomicrobia; Methanocellales; Methanocellaceae. The record is from Rfam.
GUCGCGGUAUCCAAGCCUGGUAUGGAGCAGGUUUGCUAAACCUGUGCUCUUCGGAGCUCCGGAGUUCAAAUCUCCGCCGCGGCG